RNAcentral lists this ribosomal RNA (308 nucleotides) under uncultured bacterium. RNAcentral describes it as "bacterial SSU rRNA". It matches the Rfam family "Bacterial small subunit ribosomal RNA", at positions 29 to 333 of the family's 1533-position model. The record is from RNAcentral.
AUUGAACGCUGGCGGCAUGCUUUACACAUGCAAGUCGAACGGCAGCACGGGGGGCAACCCUGGUGGCGAGUGGCGAACGGGUGAGUAACACAUCGGAACGUGCCCAGUUGUGGGGGAUAACCUAUCGAAAGGUAGGCUAAUACCGCAUGAGCUCGGCAAGAGGAAAGCGGGGGACUCAGCGAUGGGCCUCGCGCGACUGGAGCGGCCGAUGUCCGAUUAGCUAGUGGUGGGGUAAAGGCUUACCAAGGCGACGAUCGGUAGCUGGUCUGAGAGGAUGAUCAGCCACACUGGGACUGAGACACGGCCCA